Molecule: ribosomal RNA, 354 nt
Filed under: uncultured soil bacterium
Lineage: Bacteria
Description: bacterial SSU rRNA
Rfam family: Bacterial small subunit ribosomal RNA
Source: RNAcentral
AGAUUGAACGCUAGCGGGAUGCUUUACACAUGCAAGUCGAACGGCAGCGCGGACUUCGGUCUGGCGGCGAGUGGCGAACGGGUGAGUAAUAUAUCGGAACGUGCCCAGUAGCGGGGGAUAACUACGCGAAAGCGUGGCUAAUACCGCAUACGCCCUACGGGGGAAAGGGGGGAUCGCAAGACCUCUCACUAUUGGAGCGGCCGAUAUCAGAUUAGCUAGUUGGUGAGGUAAAGGCUCACCAAGGCGACGAUCUGUAGCUGGUUUGAGAGGACGACCAGCCACACUGGGACUGAGACACGGCCCAGACUCCUACGGGAGGCAGCAGUGGGGAAUUUGGACAAGUGGGGAAACCUG